Lolium rigidum is the source of this 1312-nucleotide long non-coding RNA. RefSeq lists it as uncharacterized. The transcript has 4 exons. NCBI's taxonomy places the organism in Eukaryota, Viridiplantae, Streptophyta, Magnoliopsida, Poales, Poaceae. The record is from RefSeq and is a predicted model, not a curated record.
CCUCGACGCCGUUCAGGAGCUCGUCGAAUCGAGCAGCCGGAGGGGCGCAAACGUCGCGUCUCGGAGCAGCACGCUCCAGCGCCGUCUUGAUCUGCUCCGACUAAUCUGCCACCACCAUCAUCGUCAUCAAGGUCACCCCACAUCCUGGCGUCUGCCCGUGGAGGCCCCCUCGCGCCCAUUUGGCACACCAAGGGCUCCGGGGAUUCUCGGAAGCUAAUAGGGGCAGUCGUGCAGCAGUCAGGCUUCUCGCUAGUGAUGGUUGGCAGAAUAUAUGAUAGUGUCCUCUUGAAGAACUCGUUAAUGGUGGUACUCGGCAGGAGAGGUUCCUGUACUUUAUUAGGUGUGUUUCUUUGCCUCUGUUCUCUGGGAUGACUUGCUGACCACAAGGAGCUCCCCUGGCCCUUGCGGGUAAUUAAUCUACCUGCCUGUAUAUAGCUAGGCAUUGCGAUGAAAAAGCCGCCGAAGCAGCAGGAGGAUUUUUCGAAGCUGCUCUCAUGAGAGAAACGUUUUCGAGGAGCAUGAUACCACAGAGGUGGCCUUUUCUUCUUCGACUCCAUGUGCUUGCCGUGAGUUUCUGGUUCUCCCCUGUGUCCUCUACAUUCCAGGUGAUAGACCAUGGACAUGGAGCUGUUUCUAUUUGGGCAAGCAUAUACUUUGUAUUGCUGUUACAAAUGGCGCGCUGGGUUGUAGAAAGCAUGUAUUGCUGUUUGCAAUAUGUUUGUGAGUAUACGUUUUUAGCAUUAAUUGUUGUCUGUUGCAUAUGGGCAGACUUGAUUUGUUGCCGUUUGUUGUGAAUGGCCCGAUGGGUGUUUGUUCUAUCUGUUCUUCACCAUUUAAAAAAAUGCUUCGUUUCCAGGGUGUGUUUGUGUGUGUUCGUUAUGCAUCUGACCUUUGGUGAAAUAGCAAUGUGCAUCUGCCAAACUGGUUUUUUGAGUCUGCUAUGUGCAUGCCCUGCUAAGAAAAUUGAACGGUGUCUUUUAUUGUCUUGUCUAGUCCAUUAUUGUGUGCAGUUUUAUUUUUUCUAUGUGUUUGAUUUAAAAAUGUAGAAAGAGGCAACCAAUGAGAGCUGAGUCCCAAAACGAAUUCUGGAGUCGAAAGAGUGAUUGCAAGAUAUACUAAUGGUCACUCAUGAACCGUAUGGAAUGGUUUUGCUUUUGCUCAUAUUCGUUGCAUCGUAUGUACAAUAGUGGUGGUGUAAGUAAUUUUUACCUGCACUAGAAAGUGGCAUUCUUGUGUUGGAAGCAUGGUGUGUGAAACUUGUAUGGUUAUCACCGGUGACUGUCUCUGUUUCGUCACGUGAAUGAUUUGUCUU